Molecule: ribosomal RNA, 245 nt
Filed under: uncultured bacterium
Lineage: Bacteria
Description: partial small subunit ribosomal RNA
Rfam family: Bacterial small subunit ribosomal RNA
Source: RNAcentral
AGAAUCAACGCUGGCGGCGUGCCUAACACAUGCAAGUCGCACGAGAAAGGGGAGCAAUUCCUGAGUAAAGUGGCGCACGGGUGAGUAACACGUGAAUAAUCUACCUUCGAGUGGGGAAUAACUGAGAGAAAUCUUAGCUAAUACCGCAUAACACUUACGAGUCAAAGCAGCAAUGCGCUUGGAGAGGAGUUCACGGCCGAUUAGUUAGUUGGCGGGGUAAUGGCCCACCAAGACGAUGAUCGGUA